GAUGAACGCUGGCGGCGUGCCUAAUACAUGCGAGUCGAGCGAACGGACGAGAAGCUUGCUUCCCUGAUGUUAGCGGCGGACGGGUGAGUAACACGUGGAUAACCUACCUAUAAGACUGGGAUAACUUCGGGAAACCGGAGCUAAUACCGGAUGAUAUUUUGAACCGCAUGGAUCAAAAGAGAAAGACGGUCUUGCUGUCACUUAUAGAUGGAUCCGCGCUGCAUUAGCUAGUUGGUAAGGUAACGGCUUACCAAGGCAACGAUGCAUAGCCGACCUGAGAGGGUGAUCGGCCACACUGGAACUGAGACACGGUCCAGACUCCUACGGGAGGCAGCAGUAGGGAAUCUUCCGCAAUGGGCGAAAGCCUGACGGAGCAACGCCGCGUGAGUGAUGAAGGUCUUCGGAUCGUAAAACUCUGUUAUUAGGGAAGAACAUAUGUGUAAGUAACUGUGCACAUCUUGACGGUACCUAAUCAGAAAGCCACGGCUAACUACGUG
RNAcentral lists this ribosomal RNA (497 nucleotides) under uncultured bacterium. RNAcentral describes it as "partial 16S ribosomal RNA". It matches the Rfam family "Bacterial small subunit ribosomal RNA", at positions 28 to 507 of the family's 1533-position model. The record is from RNAcentral.